Molecule: ribosomal RNA, 250 nt
Filed under: uncultured bacterium
Lineage: Bacteria
Description: partial 16S ribosomal RNA
Rfam family: Bacterial small subunit ribosomal RNA
Source: RNAcentral
UACGUAGGGUCCAAGCGUUGUCCGGAAUUACUGGGUAUAAAGGGUGCGCAGGCGGAUCUGUGCGUCGGAGGUUAAAGACCCGGGCUCAACCCGGGAAGUGCCUUCGAUACGGCAGGUCUUGAGUGUGAGAGAGGAUAGUAGAAUUCCUGGUGUAGCGGUGAAAUGCGUAGAUAUCAGGAGGAAUACCAGUGGCGAAGGCGGCUAUCUGGCUCAUAACUGACGCUUAGGCACGAAAGCGUGGGGAUCAAAC